ACAUCCAGAGAAUUUAGCAGAGAUGCUUUAGUGCCUUCGGGAACUCUGAGAUAGGUGCUGCAUGGCUGUCGUCAGCUCGUGUUGUGAAAUGUUGGGUUAAGUCCCGCAACGAGCGCAACCCUUAUCCUUUGUUGCCAGCACGUAAUGGUGGGAACUCAAAGGAGACUGCCGGUGAUAAACCGGAGGAAGGUGGGGAUGACGUCAAGUCAUCAUGGCCCUUACGAGUAGGGCUACACACGUGCUACAAUGGCGCAUACAAAGAGAAGCGACCUCGCGAGAGCAAGCGGACCUCAUAAAGUGCGUCGUAGUCCGGAUUGGAGUCUGCAACUCGACUCCAUGAAGUCGGAAUCGCUAGUAAUCGUAAAUCAGAAUGUUACGGUGAAUACGUUCCCGGGCCUUGUACACACCGCCCGUCACACCAUGGGAGUGGGUUGCAAAAGAAGUAGAUAGCUUAACCUUCGGGAGGGCGUUUACCACUUUGUGAUUCAUGACUGGGGUGAAGUCGUAACAAGGUAAGCGUAGUGCU
This 526-nucleotide ribosomal RNA is filed under the name uncultured bacterium. RNAcentral's name for it is "bacterial SSU rRNA". It matches the Rfam family "Bacterial small subunit ribosomal RNA", at positions 984 to 1509 of the family's 1533-position model. The record is from RNAcentral.